UACGGUGGGAGCAAGCGUUGUUCGGAUUUACUGGGCGUAAAGGGCGCGUAGGCGGCACUGCAAGUCAGUUGUGAAAUCUCCGGGCUUAACCCGGAAAGGUCAACUGAUACUGCAGGGCUAGAGUGCAGAAGGGGCAACUGGAAUUCCCGGUGUAGCGGUGAAAUGCGCAGAUAUCGGGAAGAACACCCGUGGCUAAGGCGGCUCUCUAGUACGGUACUGACGCUGAGACGCGAAAGCGUGGGGAGCGAACCGG
RNAcentral lists this ribosomal RNA (253 nucleotides) under uncultured bacterium. RNAcentral's name for it is "partial 16S ribosomal RNA". It matches the Rfam family "Bacterial small subunit ribosomal RNA", at positions 524 to 776 of the family's 1533-position model. The record is from RNAcentral.